CAAGUUAUAGCUUAAUUAGUAAAGCAUUUUAUUUACAUUAAAAGGUAGUUGUGCAAUUCAAUAUAAUUUGA
RNAcentral lists this transfer RNA (71 nucleotides) under Hygrotus impressopunctatus. RNAcentral describes it as "tRNA-Val". It matches the Rfam family "tRNA". Rfam says of the family: Transfer RNA (tRNA) molecules are approximately 80 nucleotides in length. Their secondary structure includes four short double-helical elements and three loops (D, anti-codon, and T loops). Further hydrogen bonds mediate the characteristic L-shaped molecular structure. tRNAs have two regions of fundamental functional importance: the anti-codon, which is responsible for specific mRNA codon recognition, and the 3' end, to which the tRNAs corresponding amino acid is attached (by aminoacyl-tRNA synthetases). tRNAs cope with the degeneracy of the genetic code in two manners: having more than one tRNA (with a specific anti-codon) for a particular amino acid; and 'wobble' base-pairing, i.e. permitting non-standard base-pairing at the 3rd anti-codon position. The record is from RNAcentral. Lineage: Eukaryota; Metazoa; Arthropoda; Insecta; Coleoptera; Dytiscidae.